RNAcentral lists this ribosomal RNA (445 nucleotides) under uncultured bacterium. RNAcentral describes it as "partial 16S ribosomal RNA". It matches the Rfam family "Bacterial small subunit ribosomal RNA", at positions 354 to 796 of the family's 1533-position model. The record is from RNAcentral.
GUGAGGAAUAUUGGUCAAUGGACGAGAGUCUGAACCAGCCAAGUAGCGUGAAGGAUGACUGCCCUAUGGGUUGUAAACUUCUUUUAUAAGGGAAUAAAGUGAGGGACGUGUCCCUUUUUGUAUGUACCUUAUGAAUAAGGAUCGGCUAACUCCGUGCCAGCAGCCGCGGUAAUACGGAGGAUCAAAGCGUUAUCCGGAUUUAUUGGGGUUAAAGGGAGCGUAGGUUGACAUAUAAGUCAGCUGUGAAAGUUUACGGCUCAACCGUGAAAUUGCAGUUGAUACUGUAUGUCUUGAGUGUACAAGAGGUGGGCGGAAUUCGUGGUGUAGCGGUGAAAUGCUUAGAUAUCACGAAGAACUCCAAUUGCGAAGGCAGCUCACUGGGGUACAACUGACACUGAGGCUCGAAAGUGUGGGUAUCAAACAGGAUUAGAAACCCCGGUAGUCC